AACGAACGCUGGCGGCAUGCCUAACACAUGCAAGUCGAACGAUGCCUUCGGGCAUAGUGGCGCACGGGUGCGUAACGCGUGGGAAUCUGCCUUUCGGUUCGGAAUAACUCAGGGAAACUUGAGCUAAUACCGGAUAACGUCGCAAGACCAAAGAUUUAUCACCGAAAGAUGAGCCCGCGUAGGAUUAGCUAGUUGGUGAGGUAAAGGCUCACCAAGGCGACGAUCCUUAGCUGGUCUGAGAGGAUGAUCAGCCACACUGGGACUGAGACACGGCCCAGACUCCUACGGGAGGCAGCAGUGGGGAAUAUUGGACAAUGGGCGAAAGCCUGAUCCAGCAAUGCCGCGUGAGUGAUGAAGGCCGUAGGGUUGUAAAGCUCUUUUACCCGGGAAGAUAAUGACGGUACCGGGAGAAUAAGCCCCGGCUAACUCCGUG
RNAcentral lists this ribosomal RNA (433 nucleotides) under uncultured bacterium. RNAcentral's name for it is "partial 16S ribosomal RNA". It matches the Rfam family "Bacterial small subunit ribosomal RNA", at positions 29 to 507 of the family's 1533-position model. The record is from RNAcentral.